Molecule: ribosomal RNA, 1350 nt
Filed under: Cantharus melanostoma
Lineage: Eukaryota; Metazoa; Mollusca; Gastropoda; Neogastropoda; Buccinidae
Description: partial large subunit ribosomal RNA
Rfam family: Bacterial large subunit ribosomal RNA (bases 879-1270)
Source: RNAcentral
AGUAUAAAUAUUUAUCUGCUAAGCUAAGUGUUCAAAACAUUCUUUAAUCUAGUAAAGGUGAUUAAAACUUAUUUUAUGUUAUACCUUAAAAAAAGUACUGUGAAGGAAUAUAACAUGAAUUAAAUAAAAGAAAGAAUUAAAAUUUGUACCUUUUGCAUCAUGGCUUAACUAGAUAUCUACUUUUUAUUUAAGUAUCUCGAAAUCCAAUGAGCUAUUUUUAUUCAUUAUUUUAGUAAUUACAGACUAAUUGUAGCAAAAAUUUUCUCAGAAUUAAAAAUAGAAAUGAAAUUUUAUUCGUAUUGGAUGAUAGCUAGUUUUUCUUUAAAGGCAUAUAAGUGCUUAAAAUUAAUUUAACUUUUAUAAUAUAUAAUAAAAUUAAUUUUAAUUUAACUAAAUUUUAGAGGAUAACCUCUAAUGUCGUAAUCUAUAUUUGUAUGCAAUUUUUUAUUAAAAUUUGAGCUUGAAAAUAGCUAAAAUAUUGAUUUUGUUACAAUUUCAUUGAUCAACAAGGAAAAUAAUUUAUUUACUUAAUAAAAAAGGAAAAAACUUAUUAACCAAAAUUAAGCUUAACUCAUGUUAAUAUUAGUAUCAAGAAUUUCAUAACUUUUUAAUACAAUAUACAUAUAAAACUUUGUAUUGUAUAAUACCCUUAAAUCAGAAAAAGGAACUCGGCAAACACAUAUUCCGCCUGUUUAGCAAAAACAUCGCUCCCUGUAGAAAGAAAAUAAGGAGUCGGACCUGCCCAGUGAAUUUUCUUAACGGCCGCGGUACUCUGACCGUGCAAAGGUAGCAUAAUCAUUUGCCUUAUAAUUGAAGGCUGGUAUGAAUGGUUUGACAAGAAUAUAGCUGUCUCUUUCUGAUUAAAUAGAAUUUUAUUUAUAGGUGAAGAAGCCUAUAUUUAAUUAAAAGACAAGAAGACCCUAUCGAGCUUGAGAUAAGUUAGUAAGUUGAAUAUAUUAAUAAUAUUAAAAAAUUAAUUGCUAAAAACUUUGGUUGGGGCGACUGAGGAACAAAUAAAGCUUCCUUUAAUUAAAACAAAUCACACAAAUAUUUGAUCCAGAAAUUUCUGAUUAAAGAAAUUAGUUACCGUAGGGAUAACAGCAUUAUCUUUUUUAAGAGUUCUUAUCGAAAAGAAGGUUUGUGACCUCGAUGUUGGACCAGAAUAUCCUAAAGGUGCAGCAGUCUUUAAGGGUUGGUCUGUUCGACCAUUAAAAUUCUACGUGAUCUGAGUUCAGACCGGCGUGAGCCAGGUCAGUUUCUAUCUUUAAUUUUCUUAAUAAAUUUAGUACGAAAGGACCAGUUUAUUAUAAUAACUUAUUAAAAAUGAAAAAAUAUAAUCACAGAUCGGAA